CAGUAGCCACGGUAAUACGUAGGGUGCGAGCGUUAAUCGGAAUUACUGGGCGUAAAGCGUGCGCAGGCGGUUCGUUAAGACAGAUGGGAAAUCCCCGGGCUUAACCUGGGAACUGCAUUUGUGACUGGCGAGCUAGAGUAUGGCAGAGGGGGGUAGAAUUCCACGAGUAGCAGUGAAAUGCGUAGAGAUGUGGAGGAAUACCGAUGGCGAAGGCAGCCCCCUGGGCCAAUACUGACGCUCAUGCACGAAAGCGUGGGGAGCAAACAGGAUUAGAUACCCCCGUAGUCCCUGUCUCUUAUAC
This 301-nucleotide ribosomal RNA is filed under the name uncultured bacterium. Its description in RNAcentral is "partial 16S ribosomal RNA". It matches the Rfam family "Bacterial small subunit ribosomal RNA", at positions 509 to 807 of the family's 1533-position model. The record is from RNAcentral.